RNAcentral lists this ribosomal RNA (506 nucleotides) under uncultured bacterium. RNAcentral describes it as "partial 16S ribosomal RNA". It matches the Rfam family "Bacterial small subunit ribosomal RNA", at positions 29 to 523 of the family's 1533-position model. The record is from RNAcentral.
AGUGAACGCUGGCGGUAGGCCUAACACAUGCAAGUCGAACGGCAGCACAGAGGAGCUUGCUCCUUGGGUGGCGAGUGGCGGACGGGUGAGGAAUACAUCGGAAUCUACUCUGUCGUGGGGGAUAACGUAGGGAAACUUACGCUAAUACCGCAUACGACCUACGGGUGAAUGCAGGGGACCUUCGGGCCUUGCGCGAUUGAAUGAGCCGAUGUCGGAUUAGCUAGUUGGCGGGGUAAAGGCCCACCAAGGUGACGAUCCGUAGCUGGUCUGAGAGGAUGAUCAGCCACACUGGAACUGAGACACGGACCAGACUCCUACGGGAGGCAGCAGUGGGGAAUAUUGGACAAUGGGCGCAAGCCUGAUCCAGCCAUACCGCGUGGGUGAAGAAGGCCUUCGGGUUGUAAAGCCCUUUUGUUGGGAAAGAAAUCCAGCUGGCUAAUACCCGGUUGGGAUGACGGUACCCAAAGAAUAAGCACCGGCUAACUUCGUGCCAGCCGCCGCCGUAA